GCCUGUGGCCACUUCACCCUGAGAACACCCAAUCUCAUCUGAUCUUGGAAGUUAAGCAGGGUUGGGCUCAGUUAGUACUUGGAUGGGAGACUGCCUGGGAAUCCCGAGUGCUGUAGGCU
Molecule: ribosomal RNA, 119 nt
Filed under: Nestor notabilis (Kea)
Lineage: Eukaryota; Metazoa; Chordata; Aves; Psittaciformes; Psittacidae
Source: RNAcentral